GCCAAGAAUAAAAUUCAAGGUGUAACCUGCCCAGUGGUUAAUAAUUAGAAUAAUAAACUUAAAAUUUAACUAAACGGAUGCGGUAUCCUAACCGUAAUAAAGUAGCAUAAUCAUUCGCCACUUAAUUGGUGGAUAGUAUGAACGGUUAAACGAAUAUUUACCUGUCUUAUAUAGAAAAUUAUGAAAUUAAAAUAAUAGUAAAGAUGCUAUUUAAAAUUGUAAGACGAAAAGACCCUAUAGAGCUUAACUAUUUGCUUUUUUAUUAAAAUAAUUAUAGAAAAUUAUAAUAAAAAAAGCUAGGUAGUUUAGUUGGGGCGACUACCUUUUAUUAAUAUCAAAGGUAAACAAAAUAAUUUAUAUAUUUAUUGUAUAAUCCAUCUGUUUAACAAUUACAAAAGUAGGUAAUAAUGACCCGUUAUUAUUAAAAAAGAAAAAUAACGAUUAAUAGAUAAAAGCUACCUUAGGGAUAACAGGAUAAUUUUAAUUUAGAGACCAUAUCAAAAUUAAAGUUUGUCACCUCUAUGUUGAAUUAAGAUAUCCUUAUGAAGCAGAAUUUAUAAAGGGUAGGUCUGUUCGACCUUUAAAAUCUU
Molecule: ribosomal RNA, 590 nt
Filed under: Nanomia bijuga
Lineage: Eukaryota; Metazoa; Cnidaria; Hydrozoa; Siphonophorae; Agalmatidae
Also listed under: 1 other name
Description: partial 16S ribosomal RNA
Rfam family: Bacterial large subunit ribosomal RNA
Source: RNAcentral